Molecule: ribosomal RNA, 893 nt
Filed under: uncultured bacterium
Lineage: Bacteria
Description: bacterial SSU rRNA
Rfam family: Bacterial small subunit ribosomal RNA
Source: RNAcentral
GUUUGAUCCUGGCUCAGAUUGAACGCUGGCGGCAGGCCUAACACAUGCAAGUCGAGCGGGGAAAGGUAGCUUGCUACCUAACCUAGCGGCGGACGGGUGAGUAAUGCUUAGGAAUCUGCCUAUUAGUGGGGGACAACAUUCCGAAAGGAAUGCUAAUACCGCAUACGCCCUACGGGGGAAAGCAGGGGAUCUUCGGACCUUGUGCUAAUAGAUGAGCCUAAGUCAGAUUAGCUAGUUGGUGGGGUAAAGGCCUACCAAGGCGACGAUCUGUAGCGGGUCUGAGAGGAUGAUCCGCCACACUGGGACUGAGACACGGCCCAGACUCCUACGGGAGGCAGCAGUGGGGAAUAUUGGACAAUGGGCGAAAGCCUGAUCCAGCCAUGCCGCGUGUGUGAAGAAGGCCUUUUGGUUGUAAAGCACUUUAAGCGAGGAGGAGGCUACUUGGAUUAAUACUCUAGGAUAGUGGACGUUACUCGCAGAAUAAGCACCGGCUAACUCUGUGCCAGCAGCCGCGGUAAUACAGAGGGUGCGAGCGUUAAUCGGAUUUACUGGGCGUAAAGCGUGCGUAGGCGGCUUUUUAAGUCGGAUGUGAAAUCCCUGAGCUUAACUUAGGAAUUGCAUUCGAUACUGGGAAGCUAGAGUAUGGGAGAGGAUGGUAGAAUUCCAGGUGUAGCGGUGAAAUGCGUAGAGAUCUGGAGGAAUACCGAUGGCGAAGGCAGCCAUCUGGCCUAAUACUGACGCUGAGGUACGAAAGCAUGGGGAGCAAACAGGAUUAGAUACCCUGGUAGUCCAUGCCGUAAACGAUGUCUACUAGCCGUUGGGGCCUUUGAGGCUUUAGUGGCGCAGCUAACGCGAUAAGUAGACCGCCUGGGGAGUACGGUCGCAAGACUAAA